RNAcentral lists this ribosomal RNA (528 nucleotides) under Tetratrichomonas gallinarum. RNAcentral's name for it is "SSU rRNA". It matches the Rfam family "Eukaryotic small subunit ribosomal RNA", at positions 717 to 1285 of the family's 1831-position model. The record is from RNAcentral. Lineage: Eukaryota; Parabasalia; Trichomonadida; Trichomonadidae.
GAAUUGACCAGUAAUGGUCUUGUGUAUAUUUACGUUCACUGUGAACAAAUCAGGACGCUUAGAGUAUGGUUACAGGAAUGACUCAGCGCAGUAUGAUAUCUUUGUUUUUUUCGGAAAACAAGCUCAAAGAGAGCCAUCGGGGGUAGAUCUAUCCCAUGACGAGUGGUGGAAUACGGUGACUCAUGGGAGAGAAUCGGAGGCGAAGGCGUCUACCUAGAGGGUUUCUGUCGAUCAAGGGCGAGAGUAGGAGUAUCCAACAGGAUUAGAGACCCUGGUAGUUCCUACUGUAAACGAUGCCGACAGGAGUUUGUCAUUUGCUAAUGGCAGAAUCUUUAGAGAAAUCAUAGUUCUUGGGCUCUGGGGGAACUACGACCGCAAGGCUGAAACUUGAAGGAAUUGACGGAAGGGCACACCAGGGGUGGAGCCUGUGGCUUAAUUUGAAUCAACACGGGGAAACUUACCAGGACCAGAUGUUUUUUAUGACUGACAGGCUUAAGGUCUUUCAGGAUAUGAUUUUUGGUGGUGCAU